Molecule: long non-coding RNA, 702 nt
Organism: Gallus gallus (chicken)
Lineage: Eukaryota; Metazoa; Chordata; Aves; Galliformes; Phasianidae
Source: Ensembl
GAGAUUUUUGCUGGAGAUUCCUGCAUGCCUGAAGUCUCUAAUGAUUCUUUAACAAUGUAAAGGAGGUAUCUUUCAUCUGAUUCCUAAGUGAAUAAGAAACUUGAAGGAAACAGGAGGGUAGCAACAAGGCAUCUUCUUGAAUCUCUCAUUUUCCUGAACAAGUGCAAUGAUGAGAGAUCUUGUUGGACACAGAAGAGAAGAGAGACAAUAUUUGUCUGGAUCCAUAAUAAAUCCACGCACAAAAUACUACUGUUGACAAAGAUUUCUUCUACUAUGAAACUAAGUAUAUUUGCACAACAACUUAAAAGCAGGAAAUCUCCCAGAGGAGAGAGGCAACCUGGCACAACUGGUGGCUGUUGAAGAAAAAAACUAUGGAUUAUGGAACAAUACUUCAUCUGUGAUUUGAUAUUUUCUGUUCUGCCUAUUGCCUUAGCUGAAUUUUGCCAUGCUUUUCCUGAGUCUGUGGGACUCGGAAGGAGCAUGGAAUGGUUGAUUCACCUGCUGAGCAGAGGUGAUGCUCUAGAGCCAAGGUGUGCUGCUGAGAUAAAAUCAAACACUUGUAGAAUGGCAGAUUGCCUGCUGCUCUGGUCCAGCAGGGAUUUCCUGCAUAGGAUGUAAGAGGAACUGAGGAACUGAAUCCUGAGUGUGGUAAUGGAGGUCCUAGAAAAGGGGGUGAUGAUGGCAGAUGGCAGUUUUUUUUAG